UACGGAGGGUGCGAGCGUUGUUCGGAAUCAUUGGGCGUAAAGGGCGUGUAGGUGGUCUGUUAAGUCAUGUGUGAAAGCCCCCGGCUCAACCGGGGAAGUGCGCAUGAAACUGACAAGCUAGAGUACCAAAGAGGAGGGUGGAAUUCCCGGUGUAGCGGUGAAAUGCGUAGAUAUUGGGAGGAACACCGGUGGCGAAGGCGGCUAUCUGGACCGGUACUGACGCUGAGACGCGAAAGCCAGGGGAGCAAACGGG
RNAcentral lists this ribosomal RNA (253 nucleotides) under uncultured bacterium. RNAcentral's name for it is "partial 16S ribosomal RNA". It matches the Rfam family "Bacterial small subunit ribosomal RNA", at positions 524 to 776 of the family's 1533-position model. The record is from RNAcentral.